UACGUAGGUGGCAAGCGUUGUCCGGAUUUAUUGGGUUUAAAGGGUGCGUAGGCGGCCCUGUAAGUCAGUACUGAAAUAUCCCGGCUUAACCGGGAGGGUGGCAUUGAUACUGCAGGGCUUGAGUACAGAUGAAGUAGGCGGAAUUGACGGUGUAGCGGUGAAAUGCAUAGAUAUCGUCAAGAACACCGAUAGCGAAGGCAGCUUACUAAGCUGUAACUGACGCUGAGGCACGAAAGUGUGGGGAUCAAACAGG
Molecule: ribosomal RNA, 253 nt
Filed under: uncultured bacterium
Lineage: Bacteria
Description: partial 16S ribosomal RNA
Rfam family: Bacterial small subunit ribosomal RNA
Source: RNAcentral